GACGAACGCUGGCGGCGUGCUUAACACAUGCAAGUCGAACGGAAAGGCCCUGCUUUUGUGGGGUGCUCGAGUGGCGAACGGGUGAGUAACACGUGAGUAACCUGCCCUUGACUUUGGGAUAACUUCAGGAAACUGGGGCUAAUACCGGAUAGGAGCUCCUGCUGCAUGGUGGGGGUUGGAAAGUUUCGGCGGUUGGGGAUGGACUCGCGGCUUAUCAGCUUGUUGGUGGGGUAGUGGCUUACCAAGGCUUUGACGGGUAGCCGGCCUGAGAGGGUGACCGGCCACAUUGGGACUGAGAUACGGCGCAGACUCCUACGGGAGGCAGAAGUGGGGAGUAUUGCACAAUGGGCGGAAGCCUGAUGCGGCGACGCCGCGUGCGGGAUGACGGCCUUCGGGUUGUAAACCGCUUUCGCCUGUGACGAAGCGUGAGUGACGGUAAUGGGUAAAGAAGCACCGGCUAACUACGUG
Molecule: ribosomal RNA, 468 nt
Filed under: uncultured bacterium
Lineage: Bacteria
Description: partial 16S ribosomal RNA
Rfam family: Bacterial small subunit ribosomal RNA
Source: RNAcentral